GUUCAAGGAAGCUGGAAGCAUACACAGGUAACACAGGAACACAUGAAGGAUAAGUUCUGUUCUGCUGGAUUGGAGAAGGCCAGAGAGGAAGGGAUCAUCAAUGGCCACUUUGGCAAAGGUCCCCAGGAACACACGUAUGGUUAAAGUUGGGUUAGUAACUUGCUACGAAAAAGGAGAACACACAUGACAGACAAGCAGGGAGUCUCUGGGUUCGGGGAGGCUUAGUACAGGAUCUUGGCUUGUGUUUGGUAAUUUGAGUGCAAGGAAAUAAGGGAUGUUUUCUGGAAUGGUGGUGCUAGAAAGUGGAGCAAUUUGACAACUAGCCAUCUUAAUACUUUUAAUCUAGGACGUAGGAGAAAUGGAACAGGGUUAGAGAGAUCACUGGAAAAGAAGCAAUAGAGACUCAUGUUAGCUUAGGGAGGGGAUGUUUGGUCAUUCUUGUGGUUGGACAGUGUCUUCGUUUUUAUCUCUGUUCAUGGAUGAUUAUGGAGUGAUAUUGUUUUUGUUUUCUUGGAGUUCUCCACUGAUGUUGAUACUCUGAAAUUGCUUUUUCAUUAGAGGAGUAUCACAGCCUAGCUGGUAGCAACUAGGCCAACUACUGGAUAAAAAUUCUUAGGGCUGCUUUUCUCAAAAUGCUUGACCUGGGAACAGGAGGAUGAGUAGGAGUUUUCCAGAUCAAAAGGGGAAGACAACUCCAGCAGAGAGGGGUGUAGCUGGAGAAGAGAGAGGAAGACAUCGCCUAUCACAAGAGGCUGAGGACACACUAUUGCCUUUGUGUUCCUUGGUAUCAUUUUCAAGUUUGGUGAACAGCUGUCAUCUUCAAAACUUAUCAAGGAAUAAAAAUCAAAAUGCUGCACAAGGUUGAGCAGUUGGAUUGUGGCACCACUACCACCCUCCAUGGUCAAGUGUAACCCCUUCCUCUGCCAUCUCUUUGGCUGGGGAAGCCUCACCUUGCAUGUUCAUGGGUUAGCAGCAGAAGGUGGAAGAGAGUUUCUUAGUUUCUAUUUUUAUUCCCUCUGCUUCCCUCUUAGUAUAGCUUUCACCUUUAUGGACUGUGCUCACCAGGGACCUUGUACACAUUAAUCAUAGGGGAAAUCUCUUUAUGUGUAUGUGUAACUGCCAUAAAAGGAAUGAAUCAAAAUUCAACUCUGUGCCUAGUUUUGGUAGCAUGUGACUCAUUUUCAUGGCCCUAGAACUAAAACGUGGUAGUUAAAACAGUAAAGUGAUAUUUAUAGGGUAAUUUUGAUCAAACCUGUCAUAACUUUCAUUUCUGGGUAAGUCUGUAUGUCCUUUGUUACAGCUCUAAUUACACUGACAGGUUUUUCAGAGGGAAUGUUAGGGUAGAGGUUAUUUAAAUAUGAAACCAAAGGUUUGACAUCAUUUAAGAGGGAAUGAUUUUUAUUUCCUAACAUAUAUUUUAAUGUAACAUAAACUUACUGGAUUAUUUCUCUUUCCUGAAUACUCCCAUUAUUUUUAUUUUAUUUUAUCAUUUAUUUUAUCAUUGAGGCAGAAGGAGAAUGAAUGGUGUUAGUCUCCCUUCCUCCUACCCAGACAUGGAACAGCCUUAAACAGUAUUGCUCGGUUCAGAUAUGAACUGAUGGUACACUGUUUAUCUAGCUCCCUGAUGGUGUCCCUCAUGAAACUCUAUAGCUGCAGGGCUUUCUCAGGUUACAAAUUUAGCAGCGCUCCUUUGGUGACUUUCCUCUUUCCACAUCACUCCAGGGAUCUCUAUUAACUUAACACACUAAAAAUAACACCGAAGAACUGCUGAACAGGGAAGGAGACCAGUAGGGCUGGGGGAAGGCUCAAUAUUGCUCACAUUGAUCAGAAACCUGGACCCUGCUCCCAUGACGCUUGCUGUUUGA
This is a long non-coding RNA of Vulpes vulpes (red fox), 1865 nucleotides long. The record is from Ensembl. NCBI's taxonomy places the organism in Eukaryota, Metazoa, Chordata, Mammalia, Carnivora, Canidae.